GGACCUGUAGCUCAGCGGAAUGAGAGCGCGACUCUGCGAAGGUCGAGGUCGCACGUUCAAAUCGUGCCAGGUCCACCA
This 78-nucleotide transfer RNA is filed under the name Acidobacteriota bacterium. Its description in RNAcentral is "Acidobacteria bacterium tRNA-Arg". It matches the Rfam family "tRNA". Rfam says of the family: Transfer RNA (tRNA) molecules are approximately 80 nucleotides in length. Their secondary structure includes four short double-helical elements and three loops (D, anti-codon, and T loops). Lineage: Bacteria; Pseudomonadati; Acidobacteriota. The record is from RNAcentral. RNAcentral also lists the same sequence under 2 other names.